AUGCCCUCCCAUUGCUAUCGGGCUAUAGGUGUAGGCAGGUAUGAAGUAGGUUUGCGUCAUCUGAAGCAUAUGAACUGUCAAUGUCAAGUCCUCAGUGCCACCUUUUCAGGUGAGCUGUUGCCAAUCACCAGGAAAAAGAAAGUCUGGAUUAAUGACCUCUGUUUCCCUGUUUUCCUCUUGUCCUCACCUUCUGUGAAAGCAUAUCAACAACUGUGUUACUUCUUAACGAGGGUUACUCUGUGACCUCAAGAAGACAGAUCCAGAAAAAGAAAGACACAUCAAUUGCCAUUGUUUCCUCUCAUAACUUUCUAGUUCCUGAAAACUCCCUAUGCCUAGCCCCUAAAAGACCAGGUUAUUUAUACUUUUAUUUAAGAUUUAAAAAAUAAAAUAAAAUAAAUUGUUUAUGUUUAAAACUGU
RNAcentral lists this long non-coding RNA (417 nucleotides) under Anas platyrhynchos platyrhynchos (common mallard). Its description in RNAcentral is "lncRNA (ENSAPLG00000016735.1)". Lineage: Eukaryota; Metazoa; Chordata; Aves; Anseriformes; Anatidae. The record is from RNAcentral.